GGGUUGUGAGGUUAAGCGACUAAGCGUACACGGUGGAUGCCCUGGCAGUCAGAGGCGAUGAAGGACGUGCUAAUCUGCGAUAAGCGUCGGUAAGGUGAUAUGAACCGUUAUAACCGGCGAUUUCCGAAUGGGGAAACCCAGUGUGUUUCGACACACUAUCAUUAACUGAAUCCAUAGGUUAAUGAGGCGAACCGGGGGAACUGAAACAUCUAAGUACCCCGAGGAAAAGAAAUCAACCGAGAUUCCCCCAGUAGCGGCGAGCGAACGGGGAGCAGCCCAGAGCCUGAAUCAGUGUGUGUGUUAGUGGAAGCGUCUGGAAAGGCGCGCGAUACAGGGUGACAGCCCCGUACACAAAAAUGCACAUACUGUGAGCUCGAUGAGUAGGGCGGGACACGUGGUAUCCUGUCUGAAUAUGGGGGGACCAUCCUCCAAGGCUAAAUACUCCUGACUGACCGAUAGUGAACCAGUACCGUGAGGGAAAGGCGAAAAGAACCCCGGCGAGGGGAGUGAAAAAGAACCUGAAACCGUGUACGUACAAGCAGUGGGAGCACGCUUAGGCGUGUGACUGCGUACCUUUUGUAUAAUGGGUCAGCGACUUAUAUUCUGUAGCAAGGUUAACCGAAUAGGGGAGCCGAAGGGAAACCGAGUCUUAACUGGGCGUUAAGUUGCAGGGUAUAGACCCGAAACCCGGUGAUCUAGCCAUGGGCAGGUUGAAGGUUGGGUAACACUAACUGGAGGACCGAACCGACUAAUGUUGAAAAAUUAGCGGAUGACUUGUGGCUGGGGGUGAAAGGCCAAUCAAACCGGGAGAUAGCUGGUUCUCCCCGAAAGCUAUUUAGGUAGCGCCUCGUGAAUUCAUCUCCGGGGGUAGAGCACUGUUUCGGCAAGGGGGUCAUCCCGACUUACCAACCCGAUGCAAACUGCGAAUACCGGAGAAUGUUAUCACGGGAGACACACGGCGGGUGCUAACGUCCGUCGUGAAGAGGGAAACAACCCAGACCGCCAGCUAAGGUCCCAAAGUCAUGGUUAAGUGGGAAACGAUGUGGGAAGGCCCAGACAGCCAGGAUGUUGGCUUAGAAGCAGCCAUCAUUUAAAGAAAGCGUAAUAGCUCACUGGUCGAGUCGGCCUGCGCGGAAGAUGUAACGGGGCUAAACCAUGCACCGAAGCUGCGGCAGCGACGCUUAUGCGUUGUUGGGUAGGGGAGCGUUCUGUAAGCCUGCGAAGGUGUGCUGUGAGGCAUGCUGGAGGUAUCAGAAGUGCGAAUGCUGACAUAAGUAACGAUAAAGCGGGUGAAAAGCCCGCUCGCCGGAAGACCAAGGGUUCCUGUCCAACGUUAAUCGGGGCAGGGUGAGUCGACCCCUAAGGCGAGGCCGAAAGGCGUAGUCGAUGGGAAACAGGUUAAUAUUCCUGUACUUGGUGUUACUGCGAAGGGGGGACGGAGAAGGCUAUGUUGGCCGGGCGACGGUUGUCCCGGUUUAAGCGUGUAGGCUGGUUUUCCAGGCAAAUCCGGAAAAUCAAGGCUGAGGCGUGAUGACGAGGCACUACGGUGCUGAAGCAACAAAUGCCCUGCUUCCAGGAAAAGCCUCUAAGCAUCAGGUAACAUCAAAUCGUACCCCAAACCGACACAGGUGGUCAGGUAGAGAAUACCAAGGCGCUUGAGAGAACUCGGGUGAAGGAACUAGGCAAAAUGGUGCCGUAACUUCGGGAGAAGGCACGCUGAUAUGUAGGUGAAGUCCCUCGCGGAUGGAGCUGAAAUCAGUCGAAGAUACCAGCUGGCUGCAACUGUUUAUUAAAAACACAGCACUGUGCAAACACGAAAGUGGACGUAUACGGUGUGACGCCUGCCCGGUGCCGGAAGGUUAAUUGAUGGGGUCAGCGCAAGCGAAGCUCUUGAUCGAAGCCCCGGUAAACGGCGGCCGUAACUAUAACGGUCCUAAGGUAGCGAAAUUCCUUGUCGGGUAAGUUCCGACCUGCACGAAUGGCGUAAUGAUGGCCAGGCUGUCUCCACCCGAGACUCAGUGAAAUUGAACUCGCUGUGAAGAUGCAGUGUACCCGCGGCAAGACGGAAAGACCCCGUGAACCUUUACUAUAGCUUGACACUGAACAUUGAGCCUUGAUGUGUAGGAUAGGUGGGAGGCUUUGAAGUGUGGACGCCAGUCUGCAUGGAGCCGACCUUGAAAUACCACCCUUUAAUGUUUGAUGUUCUAACGUUGACCCGUGAUCCGGGUUGCGGACAGUGUCUGGUGGGUAGUUUGACUGGGGCGGUCUCCUCCUAAAGAGUAACGGAGGAGCACGAAGGUUGGCUAAUCCUGGUCGGACAUCAGGAGGUUAGUGCAAUGGCAUAAGCCAGCUUGACUGCGAGCGUGACGGCGCGAGCAGGUGCGAAAGCAGGUCAUAGUGAUCCGGUGGUUCUGAAUGGAAGGGCCAUCGCUCAACGGAUAAAAGGUACUCCGGGGAUAACAGGCUGAUACCGCCCAAGAGUUCAUAUCGACGGCGGUGUUUGGCACCUCGAUGUCGGCUCAUCACAUCCUGGGGCUGAAGUAGGUCCCAAGGGUAUGGCUGUUCGCCAUUUAAAGUGGUACGCGAGCUGGGUUUAGAACGUCGUGAGACAGUUCGGUCCCUAUCUGCCGUGGGCGCUGGAGAACUGAGGGGGGCUGCUCCUAGUACGAGAGGACCGGAGUGGACGCAUCACUGGUGUUCGGGUUGUCAUGCCAAUGGCACUGCCCGGUAGCUAAAUGCGGAAGAGAUAAGUGCUGAAAGCAUCUAAGCACGAAACUUGCCCCGAGAUGAGUUCUCCCUGACUCCUUGAGAGUCCUGAAGGAACGUUGAAGACGACGACGUUGAUAGGCCGGGUGUGUAAGCGCAGCGAUGCGUUGAGCUAACCGGUACUAAUGAACCGUGAGGCUUAACCUUACAACGCCGAAGCUGUU
This 2930-nucleotide ribosomal RNA is filed under the name Escherichia coli. Its description in RNAcentral is "23S ribosomal RNA". It matches the Rfam family "Bacterial large subunit ribosomal RNA". Lineage: Bacteria; Pseudomonadati; Pseudomonadota; Gammaproteobacteria; Enterobacterales; Enterobacteriaceae. The record is from RNAcentral.